This 918-nucleotide long non-coding RNA is filed under the name Daucus carota (carrot). RNAcentral describes it as "long non-coding RNA (DCAR_LNC003688)". The record is from RNAcentral. Lineage: Eukaryota; Viridiplantae; Streptophyta; Magnoliopsida; Apiales; Apiaceae.
UUUAGUUCUCUUCUUUCAUCAUGUUCUCUACAACAGAUCCUCCAUAAUAGUAGCUUCACCAUACUUUGUGAUACAUGUCGGAUGAAGCUUCAUAGCAUAGUACACUGAAUCGAAGGGCAAAGAUGCAACGUUACAACCAAUUGCAUUAGGAUAGACUUUUUAUAUACACUAUACACGACCAAAUAAGGCAAUUUUAAUCAACUUUGACAACUGAAUACAAAGCUAUAAGUACAAGUCAUGAACUAACUCAAGCUAACAGAUCUGCUCUAGCUCGACCACACAAAUUGACAACUAAUUGCUAACGAAUUUGAUGUGGACACUUCAGGCCUUGAAGCUGGAAUUUUAAUCUCACAGCUCGCCUACCAGUUGAAAAAUAAAGCUCUUCUGUUACAGUCUGUAGAGCAUUGUGUUCAAGAACAAUCAUGCAUAUAUUUUUUAACUUUUCUGUUUCGGGAUAGGUUAUACUGAUAAAAUUAUUGUCUCAACAUGUUUAUUCCAACUGCACCUCAUGAACCGAUAAGCUUUCCAGACCGUUGAAGUUAUGAUAGCAGCCAGGCUAACCAUUUCAUUUCUGUGUGAAAGUGAACAACUUCCAUCACCAUAAUUUUUAUCUCAGUUUCUGUGUGGAAGUGAACAUGACGAACCCUCUUGAAGUAAUUUUGCAACAUGCUAGCCUUGUAUAAGUUACAACUGUCAGUUUUGGAGAAUACUGCUGGAACUCUCUUAUGGUUUAUGGCAACACGUCGGAUCUUAGGGUGAAUCCAAAAUUUAUUUGGAAGCUUUGGAAUAUAUGGUGUAUAAAUGGAUUCAUUAUUUAUUUUUUAUUUUUUUGUUUGGAAGGCUGUCUUACUGUGAAUUUGAUGAAAUUGCAAAAUCUAUUUGAUUUAUUAAUAAAAAUUCUCUCGGGUCAAUCUGCUG